This 953-nucleotide non-coding RNA is filed under the name Dendropsophus minutus (lesser treefrog). Its description in RNAcentral is "partial 12S ribosomal RNA". It matches the Rfam family "Bacterial small subunit ribosomal RNA". RNAcentral also lists the same sequence under 1 other name. Lineage: Eukaryota; Metazoa; Chordata; Amphibia; Anura; Hylidae. The record is from RNAcentral.
GACCCUAAAAAGUCCUUUAAACACAAAGGUUUGGUCCCAGCCUUGGGAUCAGUUGUUACUUGGUAUACACAUGCAAGUCUCCGCACCCCUGUGAAAACGCCCUUAAAUCCCUAUAAGGGAUAAGGAGCCGGUAUCAGGCACAAAUUAGCCCAAGACACCUAGCUACGCCACACCCACACGGGAACUCAGCAGUGAUUAACAUUAAAAAUAAGCGUUAGCUUGAAUUAGCCAAAGUAGAAUAGAGCCGGCAAAUCUGGUGCCAGCCGCCGCGGUUACACCACGUGGCUCAAACUGACCCCCUUCGGCGUAAAGUGUGAUUAAAGUUAUAUCCUAAUACAAUUAAACUGAAAUUAAGCUGUGACACGCUUAUAUUCAAGAAACUCAAAAACGAAAGUUAUUGUAACCCAAAUAACUUGAAUUCACAACAGCUGGGAAACAAACUGGGAUUAGAUACCCCACUAUGCCUAGCCGUAAACCUUUAUUUACAAACAUUUCGCCAGGGAACUACGAGCCAAGCUUAAAACCCAAAGGACUUGACGGUACCCCACAUCCACCUAGAGGAGCCUGUCCUAUAAUCGAUAACCCCCGUUUAACCUCACCACUUUUAGUUUAUCAGCCUGUAUACCUCCGUCGUCAGCUUACCUCGUGAGCGUAAACUAGUGAGCCUAAUGCCCCUACGCCAAUACGUCAGGUCAAGGUGCAGCAUAUGAAGUGGAAAGAGAUGGGCUACACUAUCUAUAUUAGAUAAUACGAAAGACUACAUAUGAAAUCCUAAUCAGAAGGCGGAUUUAGAAGUAAAAGAAGAUCAAUAUGCUUCCUUUAACCCGGCACUGGGGUGUGUACACACCGCCCGUCACCCUCUUCAAGAUCUUAAUACAGUUUUUAACAAAACUAGACCCUAUAGAAGAGGCAAGUCGUAACAUGGUAAGUAUACCGGAAGGUGUGCUUGGAAA